CCCUUAGAUGUUCUGGGCUGCACGCGCGCUACACUGAUGCGAUCAACAAGUUUUUCCUAUGUCGAUAGACACGGGUAAUCUUUUAAACUCGCAUCGUGAUGGGGAUAGAUUAUUGUAAUUAUUAAUCUUCAACGAGGAAUUCCUAGUAGGUGCAAAUCAUCAGUUUGCAUCGAUUACGUCCCUGCCCUUUGUACACACCGCCCGUCGCUGCUACCGAUUGGUUGAUCUGGUGAAUUAUUCGGACUGCCGGCUGAAGGGGUUUCCUCAUCUGCCAGCGGAAAGUCUUGUUAACCCUAUCAACUAGAGGAAGCAGAAGUCGUAACA
This 324-nucleotide ribosomal RNA is filed under the name uncultured eukaryote. RNAcentral describes it as "partial 18S ribosomal RNA". It matches the Rfam family "Eukaryotic small subunit ribosomal RNA", at positions 1470 to 1796 of the family's 1831-position model. The record is from RNAcentral.